This is a long non-coding RNA of Coccinella septempunctata (seven-spotted ladybird), 583 nucleotides long. RefSeq lists it as uncharacterized. The record is from RefSeq and is a predicted model, not a curated record. Lineage: Eukaryota; Metazoa; Arthropoda; Insecta; Coleoptera; Coccinellidae. The transcript has 2 exons.
GGGAAAUCUGUUGGUAUUUUUUAACUCUUGAAGCCGUUUCCUCGAUUGAAAUUAAUUGGUGAAAUGCUAUUGGACCGUUAAAAUUGCAAACGUAAAAGGUGAUUGAGAGGUGCAUAUCAAUUAUUUCAUAAUGAGAACGAAAUAAACCGAUUUUUAAUCGACGUCUAAUCAGAGCUCAAAAUUACAUACUUGGGAAAAUAACUCACCUUUAGGAUUCAAUUUUUCAGGGUUGAACCAUGUAUCUGGAAAAAUAAGAAAGAAUUAUAUCCGAAAUAAUAUGAAUAUUCUUUCAAUGAAAUAUACAGGGGGUGGCACAGCUCAUUAUGAAAACUCAAAAUGGCAACACCCCAAGAGAUUUCGGAUGCCUCUACAGAUGGCCCGAAAGAAAGUGGGAUUUUUCGAAAAAUUUCGAUUUGAAUGACAUGCCCUUUCUAUUGGAUACUCUACUGGUCUUUACUUUGGAAACAUUUUGGGCCUAAAAUUAAUUUUAAAAACUAUUCACUACUUCUUUUUUUGUCAAUAGAUUCUACUUGUCUCCAAACAGAAACUUUUGACGUGGAAAUAUAAUUUUCUCUUAUUCUCA